ACAUCCAGUAGAAUUUAGCAGAGAUGCUUUAGUGCCUUCGGGAACUCUGAGACAGGUGCUGCAUGGCUGUCGUCAGCUCGUGUUGUGAAAUGUUGGGUUAAGUCCCGCAACGAGCGCAACCCUUAUCCUUUGUUGCCAGCACGUAAUGGUGGGAACUCAAAGGAGACUGCCGGUGAUAAACCGGAGGAAGGUGGGAUGACGUCAAGUCAUCAUGGCCCUUACGAGUAGGGCUACACACGUGCUACAAUGGCGCAUACAAAGAGAAGCGACCUCGCGAGAGCAAGCGGACCUCAUAAAGUGCGUCGUAGUCCGGAUUGGAGUCUGCAACUCGACUCCAUGAAGUCGGAAUCGCUAGUAAUCGUAAAUCAGAAUGUUACGGUGAAUACGUUCCCGGGCCUUGUACACACCGCCCGUCACACCAUGGGAGUGGGUUGCAAAAGAAGUAGAUAGCUUAACCUUCGGGAGGGCGUUUACCACUUUGUGAUUCAUGACUGGGGUGAAGUCGUAACAAGGUAAGCGUAGUGCU
This 526-nucleotide ribosomal RNA is filed under the name uncultured bacterium. RNAcentral's name for it is "bacterial SSU rRNA". It matches the Rfam family "Bacterial small subunit ribosomal RNA", at positions 984 to 1509 of the family's 1533-position model. The record is from RNAcentral.